AAUCAGUCUCCCACAUUCAUUCCAUUCAAACCGUCACCAAUGGUGCUCGCGCAUUCUCAAUAGUUUGCUCAAUUCGAACAUGAGAAGCUGAUUAUAUGGAGGUCUCACUCCUUCAUUGUCUGACUGCACUCUCU
Molecule: non-coding RNA, 134 nt
Organism: Caenorhabditis elegans
Lineage: Eukaryota; Metazoa; Nematoda; Chromadorea; Rhabditida; Rhabditidae
Source: Ensembl